CCUGUAACGCCUCGUUAGUAAAAGCAACGUGUUCGUCAAAGAAUGACACGCAUGUAACAGAGCGACAGAUGUUACACUUGUAUGUAAUCACGGAGUUAGUGAAUAUACAGAUCGUAAAAGCUUAGAUCGUGUUAUCAAUGCCGACAUCAAUGGGUUAAUCGUUCUCCUUAACCGUGAGAAAGUUAAUUGAAUAUAUUCUUUAGUAUACCAACAGAUAAACUCACCGGCUUUUCGCUCAGGAACCGUGACUGCAACGCCAAGACGUAAUAGAGCCAGAACAGCCUCAAGCAAUAGCCGUAAAUUAACCAAUCGGCAUUGUCCGCGUACUUGACGUCUCUUGGAUCGGUGCAGUUCGUCCGAUAGACAGGCGUCAAUGCGAAGUAUCGCUGCCAAGUGCUGUUCACGGGUAUCAACUGCUGGGGCACUUGAUUCUGAUAGGUGAGCAGGGCCAGGAUAUGAAGGAUCACGACGGCCAUCACGAUCCUGCAUAAUACAGCGAAACCCUUUCGGAGCUCUUUAUUGCACGCCCACCAAGUUGCGGCACCCAGAAAGACGAGGAAGUAGAAACCACCCUCUAUCGAUGGUUUCAGGGACGCCGUGAUGCAGAGCGACGCGAGGACCACAUAGGUGCCGAUUCGUCCGAGGAAAUUGAUGAUCUGGAUGGACAAACUUACUAAAGUUAGCUACGAGCUAAAAUUUUUUAUCCACUUACGCAAGAACAUUACCGGCUAAAAUUUUGGAACCAAUGUGUGUUCUGUGCAAACGUUAAAUUUAAUUAACUUGGAAGAUUCAACUUUCAACGUUUGUAGCGUCAAUCUCGAGUUGAAAUAAAAUUAGCGAAUUGAUACAAUUGGAAAAGUGAUUCCAAAAUUUUAUCUACUGUAGGUAAAGUAAGAUUUUGGCGCAGCGUUUAGGCACAUAAUUUCACAGAUUGCCCGAUUUAACAUAUAAUAUAUUAUAUGCAAUUUAUUAUUAAAUUGCAUAUUACGA
Frieseomelitta varia is the source of this 990-nucleotide long non-coding RNA. RefSeq lists it as uncharacterized. The transcript has 2 exons. The record is from RefSeq and is a predicted model, not a curated record. Lineage: Eukaryota; Metazoa; Arthropoda; Insecta; Hymenoptera; Apidae.